GACGUAGGGCGCGAGCGUUGUCCGGAUUUAUUGGGCGUAAAGAGCUCGUAGGCGGCUUGUCGCGUCGAAUGUGAAAACUUGGGGCUCAACUCCAAGCUUGCAUUCGAUACGGGCAGGCUAGAGUUCGGUAGGGGAGACUGGAAUUCCUGGUGUAGCGGUGAAAUGCGCAGAUAUCAGGAGGAACACCGGUGGCGAAGGCGGGUCUCUGGGCCGGUACUGACGCUGAGGCACGAAAGCGUGGGGAGCAAACAGG
This 253-nucleotide ribosomal RNA is filed under the name uncultured bacterium. Its description in RNAcentral is "partial 16S ribosomal RNA". It matches the Rfam family "Bacterial small subunit ribosomal RNA", at positions 524 to 776 of the family's 1533-position model. The record is from RNAcentral.